AGUCAUAUGCUUGUCUCAAAGAUUAAGCCAUGCAUGUGUAAGUACGGGCCCGUGCACGGCGAAACUGCGAAUGGCUCAUUAAAUCAGCCGUGGUUCCUUAGAUCGUCUCGAGUCCAGGAUAACCGUAGUAAUUCUAGAGCUAAUACAUGCACGCAAGCCCCGAUCCCCCGCGGAGAAGGGCGCUUUUAUUAGACCAAGACCAGCGCGCGGCUCCGGCCGCGCCGCCCCGUGUCGACUCUGGAUAACUUCCCGCCGAUCGCACGGCCCCGGCGCCGGCGACGCAUCUUUCAAACGUCUGCCCUAUCAACUGUCGAAGGUAGGCGACCUGCCUACCUUGGUCGCAACGGGUAACGGGGAAUCAGGGUUCGAUUCCGGAGAGGGAGCAUGAGAAACGGCUACCACAUCCAAGGAAGGCAGCAGGCGCGCAAAUUACCCACUCCCGACGCGGGGAGGUAGUGACGAAAACUAACAAUACGGGACUCUUUCGAGGCCCCGUAAUUGGAAUGAGUACACCUUAAAUCCCUUAACGAGGAUCUAUUGGAGGGCAAGUCUGGUGCCAGCAGCCGCGGUAAUUCCAGCUCCAAUAGCGUAUAUUAAAGUUGUUGCAGUUAAAAAGCUCGUAGUUGGAUCUCGGGCGGCGGCCGGCGGUUCGGGUCCGCGCCCGCCUACCGCCGGCCGCACCCAACCGGCGGGACGUGCCGGGUGCCCUUGACUGGGUCGCCCGGCGCACCCGCCCAGUUUACUUUGAAAAAAUUAGAGUGUUCAAGGCAGGCUGCGACGCCUGGAUAGCGGCGCAUGGAAUGAUGGAACAGGACCUCGGUUCUAUUUUGUUGGUUUUCGGAAGUCGAGGUAAUGAUUGAGAGGGACAGACGGGGGCAUUCGUACUGCGGCGUUAGAGGUGAAAUUCUUGGAUCGCCGCAAGACGGACUACUGCGAAAGCAUUUGCCAAGAAUGUUUUCGUUAAUCAAGAACGAAAGUCAGAGGUUCGAAGACGAUCAGAUACCGUCCUAGUUCUGACCAUAAACGAUGCCGACCAGCGAUCCGCCGGAGUUGCCUUGAUGACCCGGCGGGCAGCUCCCGGGAAACCAGAGUCUCUGGGUUCCGGGGGAAGUAUGGUUGCAAAGCUGAAACUUAAAGGAAUUGACGGAAGGGCACCACCAGGAGUGGAGCCUGCGGCUUAAUUUGACCCAACACGGGGAAACUCACCCGGCCCGGACACCGCGAGGAUUGACAGAUCGAGAGCUCUUUCUUGAUUCGGUGGGUGGUGGUGCAUGGCCGUUCUUAGUUGGUGGAGCGAUUUGUCUGGUUAAUUCCGAUAACGAACGAGACUCUGGCCUGC
This 1339-nucleotide ribosomal RNA is filed under the name Odontosyllis enopla. Its description in RNAcentral is "SSU rRNA". It matches the Rfam family "Eukaryotic small subunit ribosomal RNA", at positions 21 to 1351 of the family's 1831-position model. Lineage: Eukaryota; Metazoa; Annelida; Polychaeta; Phyllodocida; Syllidae. The record is from RNAcentral.